UGUAGAUGUGUAGAUGGGGUUGGAGGAUGUGUAGAUGGGGUUGGAGGAUGUGCAGAUGGGGUUGGAGAAUUUGUAGAUGGGGUUGUAGGAUGUGUAGAUGGGGUUGUAGGAUGUGUAGAUGGGGUUGUAGGACGUGUAGAUGUGUAGAUGGGGUUGGAGGAUGUGUAGAUGGGGUCGGAGGACAUGUAGAUGGGUUGGAGUGUAGAUGGAUGGGGUUGGAGGACAUGUAGAUGGGUUGGAGGAAGUGUAGAUGGGGUUGGAGGACGUGUAGAUGGGUUGGAGGACGUGUAGAUGGGGUUGGAGGACGUGUAGAUGGGUUGGAGGACGUGUAGAUGGGGUUGGAGGACGUGUAGAUGGGGUUGGAGGACGUGUAGAUGGGGUUGGAGGACGUGUAGAUGGGGUUGGAGGACGUGUAGAUGGGGUUGGAGGACGUGUAGAUGGGGUUGGAGGAUGUGUAGAUGGGGUUGGAGGACGUGUAGAUGGGGCUGUAGGAUGUGUAGAUGGGGUUGGAGGAUGUGUAGAUGGGGUUGGAGGAUGUGUAGAUGGGGUUGGAGGACGUGUAGAUGGGGUUGGAGGACGUGUAGAUGGGGUUGGAGGACAUGUAGAUGGGGUUGGAGGGUUGGAGGACGUGUAGAUGGGGUUGGAGGACGUGUAGAUGGGGUUGGAGGACGUGUAGAUGGGUUGGAGGACGUGUAGAUGGGGUUG
Long non-coding RNA from Oncorhynchus tshawytscha (Chinook salmon), 705 nucleotides. NCBI's taxonomy places the organism in Eukaryota, Metazoa, Chordata, Actinopteri, Salmoniformes, Salmonidae. The record is from Ensembl.